Molecule: ribosomal RNA, 497 nt
Filed under: uncultured bacterium
Lineage: Bacteria
Description: partial 16S ribosomal RNA
Rfam family: Bacterial small subunit ribosomal RNA
Source: RNAcentral
GAUGAACGCUGGCGGCGUGCCUAAUACAUGCAAGUCGAGCGAACGGACGCGAAGCUUGCUUCUCUGAUGUUAGCGGCGGACGGGUGAGUAACACGUGGAUAACCUACCUAUCAGACUGGGAUAACUUCGGGAAACCGGAGCUAAUACCGGAUAAUAUUUUGCACCGCAUGGUUCAAAAGUGAAAGACGGUCUUGCUGUCACUUAUAGAUGGAUCCGCGCUGCAUUAGCUAGUUGGUAAGGUAACGGCUUACCAAGGCAACGAUGCAUAGCCGACCUGAGAGGGUGAUAGGCCACACUGGAGCUGAGACACGGUCCAGACUCCUACGGGAGGCAGCAGUAGGGAAUCGUCCGCAAUGGGCGGAAGCCUGACGGAGCAACGCCGCGUGAGUGAUGAAGGUCUUCGGAUCGUAAAACUCUGUUAUUAGGGAAGAACAGAUGUGUAAGUAACUGUGCACAUCUUGACGGUACCUAAUCAGAAAGCCACGGCUAACUACGUG